GACGUAGGGCGCAAGCGUUGUCCGGAUUUAUUGGGCGUAAAGAGCUCGUAGGCGGCUUGUCGCGUCGACUGUGAAAACCCGUGGCUCAACCAUGUGGUCUGCAGUCGAUACGGGCAGGCUAGAAUUCGGUAGGGGAGACUGGAAUUCCUGGUGUAGCGGUGAAAUGCGCAGAUAUCAGGAAGAACACCCGUGGCGAAGGCGGCUCUCUGGGACGGUACUGACGCUGAGACGCGAAAGCGUGGGGAGCGAACAGG
Molecule: ribosomal RNA, 254 nt
Filed under: uncultured bacterium
Lineage: Bacteria
Description: partial 16S ribosomal RNA
Rfam family: Bacterial small subunit ribosomal RNA
Source: RNAcentral